This 76-nucleotide transfer RNA is filed under the name bacterium. RNAcentral's name for it is "tRNA-Arg". It matches the Rfam family "tRNA". Rfam says of the family: Transfer RNA (tRNA) molecules are approximately 80 nucleotides in length. Their secondary structure includes four short double-helical elements and three loops (D, anti-codon, and T loops). The record is from RNAcentral.
GUCCCCGUAGCUCAACGGAUAGAGCGCUUCCCUGCGAAGGAAGAGGUUGCAGGUUCGAUUCCUGCCGAGGACACCA